Non-coding RNA from Triplophysa rosa, 458 nucleotides. NCBI's taxonomy places the organism in Eukaryota, Metazoa, Chordata, Actinopteri, Cypriniformes, Nemacheilidae. The record is from the annotation of a RefSeq genome assembly.
GACAGCUCUGUGAUGUGAACUUCUGUUCUACACACAAGCAGAAAUCACCAUGAGCUCAUACAUCUUCAUCUGGACACUCAUCAUCUUUAUUCAAGAUUGUCAAGCUGAGAUCACAGUGAUUCAGACUCCAUCAGUGAAACCUGUUACAGUAGGAGAGACGGUCACUCUGAAGUGUAAAACCAGCAGAGAUGUGCCUUGUUGUUACACAAGAACCAGCAGUGACAGAUCUGGUUCAGCUCAUAGUUGGUAUCAUCAGAAACCUGGAGAAGCUCCUAAACUCCUGAUAUAUUAUACAUAUAACCUUCAGUCUGGAACUCCAUCUAGAUUCAGUGGCAGUGGAUCAAACACAGAUUUCACUCUGAGCAUCAGUGGAGUCAAGAGUGAAGAUGCAGGACAUUAUUACUGUCAGAGUGUACACUAUAUCAACAGUAGAGAUGUGUUGACACAGUGAAACAGAG